This 317-nucleotide long non-coding RNA is filed under the name Arabidopsis lyrata. Its description in RNAcentral is "long non-coding RNA (ALYR_LNC003257)". Lineage: Eukaryota; Viridiplantae; Streptophyta; Magnoliopsida; Brassicales; Brassicaceae. The record is from RNAcentral.
CUAUACGAACAAAAAAAUUUGGGCUCUUAAAUUUACCCAAAACAAAUUGGACCCGGUACAAUUGCUCCACUUGCACAUCCCAAACGCACUACAGACUAGUUAAGUCUGAAACAUUGCUUCCUCUCUAUGGCAAGAAGCCCCCGAUACAUCCACUACGUUCUUACAACAAUGUUUAAUAUGAUCAUUAAUCAUCUUCCAUGAGUCACUCUUCUGUUUUAGUUUCACCAAUACCUAAUAUUAAAAAGAAAAGGCAAAAACAAGAUCUACCAAUUCAAUGCGAUAGGGUAAAGUGACCAAAUAACCAUUGCCGUUGUCAC